UUCUUUUUGCAAUGAGUAAAAAUUACAGAAAGCAGGUUAUGCAGGGCCAUACAAGUGAAAGUGUCUAAGUAUCAAUGAUUGAUGUCAUUACAGACUAACCUAAUAAUAAUAGGCUUAACCUUGUUAGCUUCAAGAAAAAUUUUCUGUUCAUGUAUGCAAUAUUUUUUUUUGAGUAGAAAAGAAUUGCAUCUAUUUUUACUCAGCAGUGAUAUCUCCUUAAUUUGUUAGAAUGCAUCUACUACUAUUUUUCUAAAUAUACUAUUAUAAAAACAUUUAUGGGCCAAGAUAAGAAAUAUAGUUUUGAUAAUGACACAUGAUAAAGUUCAAUAAUUGCAAAGGACUCAUCAUGAACCCAUCUUCUUUCACAUCGCAAAAUUAACUCUAUUUUGUCUUCAUUAGUCCAAACUUCCUUCUUAAGGAAAUAGUGUCCUAUUUAAUGUAACUAACCUAAGACUUAAUAUAAAAUUAAUGCCAUUCGACAGUACACAAUAGACAAUCUCUUCCAUUCCUCUCGUCCUCAAACACAAGAAGAGAUUAUAGAAAUAAAGAGUUAGAGACCCUUAAGACCCUUGCAGGCUCUAAUGGUGCACCGGGUUUGGGUUGGGUCACAGCAUAGGAAACUCAAAAUUGCCCAAAAAUCAAACGGGUCAGGUCAGAAUUUAGUAAACCUAGACUCGACCCAGAAAAUGGAACGGGUCCAAUUUUAGAACCCAACCCGACCCCAUGUAUCAUUUAAAUCGGGUCGAAUUGGGUCUAAGUGGGUCAGGCCGGGUCAAGUCACGGAUCAACUCGACCCAUUUGCAGCCUUAUCAGUGAUAAUGAGAUUAGUAAAAUCUUUAAAAAUCAGAUGGGCUUUUGUUGCUCAGCUAUGCAGCCCAAGAGAGGGGGAAUUGGAUUUUUCAAAAACUUUUAGCUAAUAAUGCAGUGGAAUAAAAUUUGAUAGAAGAAUAUAGAUUUUUGCAGCAAACUAAUAAGUAAACAUGCUGAAGAUAAAUGCAUGUAAAAAAAUUAAUGUAAACACAAAAAUUUAUAAUAGUUUGGUGCCAACUUUGUACCUACGUCUACUCUUUAAGACUUUGUUCUUGAAAAUUUUACUAUAAUCUUUCCUAAAUUAUAGCCCGAUUGUUUUACAUGGUAUCACAAUCAAUCUAGUUGAUUUUUUUAGAAAAUCAACCAAAACUAUAUCUGUUGUUUUACUCGAGCUCACAAUCAAUCUAGUUUAUUUUCUCAGAAAAUCAAAUAAAACCUUCUCUGAGCCUAUUCCAGCCUCAACACAAUCCAAUUCAAGGUUUGAAUUUACUCGGGCUCACAAUCAGCCCAGUUUAUUUUCUUAAAAAAUUAACCAAAAUCUUCUCCGAGCCUAUCCCAGCCUCAACACAAUUCAAUUCAGGGUUUGUAUGGACUUUUUUUGAAGUUUCAAUUCUUGAAACUUGUUAUAGUAGAGUAUAGAAAGAAUUAAGUGCAAAUACAAUGAAAACAACUCCAAGACAAUAAAUACAAAACAAUAAAUGGAGCUUGACUAUGUUGGUUGGCUUUAAUUGCUCUUGAAGGUGCUUCACAAACUUUCGGAUGUUGAAGAUGCUAUCUUUCAGCUCAUAUUAAAAGCUUUUGAAUGAUGUUCUCUUUGGAGUAAGGUCAGUGAAAUCGUUUCGAAUCGGGCGGUUCCGGCCGCUUCGAGCCAUACUGGUGGUUCAUCGGUACGAUUCCGGUAACGAAAAAGAGACCCAUUGCCGGAGCCAGAGAAGGAAAGAGAGAGCAAGCAGGGGAGGGAGGGAGAGUGAGAGGUCAGGAGGGCCGGCGGAGACCGUGGCAGGCAAGGUUGAAGCCGGUUCUCCUGUUUCGAACAAAACAGGGUUCGACUGCAACUUAAAAAAUUUCGCAAUUUGUCGACUUUACGUAAAAAUUGCAAAAUUUUUUAAGCUGCGGUCGGACUCUUAUUUCGAACGAAAUAGGAGAACUGGCUGCGACCUCGCCAGCCAUGGCCUUCGCUGGCCCUCCGCCAACCUCCCUCUCUCUCUCCCCCUUCUCUCUCUCUUAUUCUCUUCCACAGUACCGUGCCCUCUGUCGUUACAGGCCCGGCAUGGCCCGUACCAACUCGUGCUGCUGAAGAACUGGUAUGGUGCCCGGUACCGGUUUCUCUGAUCUUGCUUUGAAGUUCUUUCUUUUUGCUUUCUUUUUCUUGAUUUUGUGGAUUUUUCUUUGUAGUGCUUGAGCUCUCUUAUUCUUUGGGUGUUCCCAUGUAUUUAUACUAUUUGGAAGAGCUUGGAACACUAUCCUAGCCGUUAAACAGGUAAAAGAGCCGUUGUGACAUGAAAACAACCAUUCUGAUUCACAGAAAAAUUAGUUGUUACUGUUGUCAAGCAUAGAGGGGUCGAGUCGCCAUUUUCUAUGGUCGAGUCAAUAUUUUCAUGAGUUGAUUCGUGAUCUUCUGGGGUCGACUCUUUAAUGGACUAAAGUUUGCAAAUCUCAGUCUUUCCACUAUGGCUAUUUAGGGUCGACUCAUUAUUUUCUGGGGUUGAUUCUUAUUUGACUAAAGUCGGCUCGUGAUUUUUAUGGGUCAACUCGCCAAUGUGAUGAAUUGUUCAGCUUUCUGUCUUUUCUCUAUGGCCAUCUAGAGGUCGACUUAUUUGUUUCUGGGGUGGACUCUUGUUGGACUGGAGUUGGCUCGUAUUCUUCAGGUGUCGACUCAUCAAUAUGAUGAAAACCACAACUUUAUGUUUGUCUUCUGAGAAUGAUCUGGAGUCGACUCGCAAUCUACUGGAGUCGGUUCGUAAAGGCGUAUCAGUCAACGAUAGUGUGCUAUGGUUGACUUGUUGCAAACUUGUGGUCAACUCUUGAGUUAGCUUAGAAUGAAAUUCUGUCUUUGCAAGUGAGCUUCCAAGGAUUGUUUUUAUGUUCUUUUGGAGUAGUUCUUCUUGAUAUGAAGCUUUAUAUAGGUGAUCCUUUUUCGAGAGUAACUGAAAGCUUUCUUAUUUGUUUUCUGAAAUCAAUCAAUUAAACUCAAAGCAAUAGAUUAGUUAACUUUUCACUCAACUGUUUCAUAUCAUCGAAAUCAAUCCUUUAGGGUCAAUAGGUUUGUAACAAUACUCCUAUCACAAGAAAAAAGAACUAACAAUUCUAGUAGGACCAAAAAUUUGAAAAAUUUGAAACUGGCUGAAAUUGAAUAGAAUUGGCUGAAACCGACUGAAUCUCAGUGAAAUCAAAAAAAAUUGGUCGUUUUAGAAUUGGUCUAGAUCAUAACUGAUCUGCUUCAAUUGAAACUUAAAACCUUGGUAUAAGAGGAACAGGAGACUAUGAUAGAUGAGAAGAAAGUAGGAAAAGGGAGAGUUCCAGUGGAAUCCACAAGUAGAUUCAAAAAACUACAGAAAGCAGGUUAUGUAGGACCAAGUCGGAUCUAGGUCGGAUUCGAGUCGGAUUUUUGUACUUGUCAUUUUUUGUACUAGGUUCCUUUUACAACAAGUAAAAACUACAAAAAGCAGGUUAUGCAGGACCAUACAAGUGAAAGUGUCUAAGUAUCAAUGAUUGAUGUCAUUAUAGACUAACCUAAUAAUAAUAGGCUCAACCUUAUUAGCUUCAAAAAAAAAUUUAUGUUCAUAUAUGCAAUAUUUUUUUUGAGUAGAAAAGAGUUGUAUCUAUUUUUACUCAGCAGUGAUAUUUCCUGAAUUUGUUAGAAUGCAUCUAUUACUAUUUUUCUAAUUAUACUAUUAUAAAAAUAUUCAUGGGCCAAGAUAAGGAAUAUAGUUUUGAUAAUGACACAUGAUAAAGUUCAACAACUGCAAAGGAUUCAUCAUGACCCCAUCUUCUUUCACAUCGCAAAAUUAACUCUAUUUUGUCUUCAUUAGUUUAAACUUCCUUCUUAAGGGAAUAGUGUUCCCAUUUAAUGUAACUAACCUAAGAUUUAAUAUAAAAUUCAUGCCAUUUGACAGUACACAAAAGACAAUCUCGUCCAUUCCUCUCAUCCUCAAACACAAGAAGAGAUUAAAGGAAUAAAGAGUUAAAGACCUUUAAGCACCCUUGCAGGCUCUAACGGUGCACGGGUUUGGGUCAGGUCACAGCGUAGGAAACUCAAAAUUGCCCCAAAAAUCAAACGGAUCAGGUCAGAAUUUAGUAAACCUAGAUCCGACCCAGAAAAUAGAACGAGUCCAAUUUUAAAACCCAACCCGACCCUAUGUAUCCUUUAAAUCGGGUCAAGUCACGGGUCAACUCGAUCCAUUUGCAGCCUUAUUAGUGAUAAUGAGAUUAGCAAAAUCUUUAAAAAUCAGAUGGGAUUUGUUGCCCAGCUAUGCAACCCAAGAGAGGGGGUGAAUUAAAUUUUUCAAAAACUUUUAGCUAAUAAUGCAGUGGAAUAAAAUUUGAUAGAAGAAUAUAGAUUUUUCCAGCAAACAAAUAAGUAAAUAUGCUAAAGAUAAAUGCAUGUAAAAAAAUUAACACAAACACAAGAAAUUUAUAAUGGUUUGGUGCUAACUCUGCACCUACGUCUACUCUCUAAGACUUUCUUCUUGAAAAUUUUACUAUAAUCUUUUCUAGAUUACAGCCCGAUUGUUUUACACGGGACACAAUCAACCUGGUUGAUUUUUUUAGAAAAUCAACGAAAAUCUAUAUCUAUUGUUUUACUCGGGCUUACAAUCAAUCUAGUUUAUUUUAUCAGAAAAUCAAGUAAAACCUUCUCCGAGCGUAUCCCAGCCUCAAUACAAUCCAAUUCAAGGUUUGGAUUUACUCGGGCUCACAAUCAACCCAGUUUAUUUUCUCAGAAAAUUAACCAAAACCUUUUUCGAGCUUAUCCCAGUUUCAACACAAUCCAAUUCAAGGUUUGUAUGGACCUUUUCUGAAGUUUCAAUUCCUGAAACUUGUUGUAGUAGAGUAUAGAAAGAAUUAAGUGCAAAUACAAUGAAAAUAACUCCAAGACAAUAAAUACAAAACAAUAAAUGGAGCUUGACUGUGUUGGUUGGCUUUGAUUGCUCUUGAAGGUGCUUUACCAACUUUCAGAUGUUGAAGAUGUUAUCUUUCAGCUCAC
Molecule: long non-coding RNA, 5014 nt
Filed under: Phoenix dactylifera (date palm)
Lineage: Eukaryota; Viridiplantae; Streptophyta; Magnoliopsida; Arecales; Arecaceae
Description: long non-coding RNA (PDAC_LNC001154)
Source: RNAcentral